UACAGAGGUGGCAAGCGUUGUUCGGAUUCACUGGGCGUAAAGGGUGCGUAGGUGGCGGGGUAAGUCGGAUGUGAAAGCUCAGAGCUCAACUCCGAAAUUGCAUUGGAAACUACCUUGCUCGAGGGUUGGAGGGGGGACUGGAAUGCUUGGUGUAGCAGUGAAAUGCGUAGAUAUCUGGAGGAACACCGGUGGCGAAGGCGGCAUCCUGGACCGGUAUUGACGCUGAUGCGCGAAGGCGUGGGGAGCAAACAGG
Molecule: ribosomal RNA, 253 nt
Filed under: uncultured bacterium
Lineage: Bacteria
Description: partial 16S ribosomal RNA
Rfam family: Bacterial small subunit ribosomal RNA
Source: RNAcentral